UACGUAGGGGGCAAGCGUUGUCCGGAUUUAUUGGGCGUAAAGAGCUCGUAGGCGGUUCCGUAAGUCGUGUGGUCAAAUCUCUGGGCUCAACCCAGAAUCGCUUCCGAUACUGCGGUGACUGGAGUCCGGUAGGGGAGUGUGGAAUUCCUGGUGUAGCGGUGAAAUGCGCAGAUAUCAGGAGGAACACCGGUGGCGAAGGCGGGUCUCUGGGCCGAUAUUGACGCUGAGGAGCGAAAGCGUGGGGAGCGAACAGG
This 254-nucleotide ribosomal RNA is filed under the name uncultured bacterium. RNAcentral's name for it is "partial 16S ribosomal RNA". It matches the Rfam family "Bacterial small subunit ribosomal RNA", at positions 524 to 776 of the family's 1533-position model. The record is from RNAcentral.